UGUUUGUUUAGGGUCACUCAUCCAAUCACAUUUGUCAUCUUCUCAUUGAAGCAGAGGAGUAUCUUUCACAUUUCAAAGCCCUAAUAUUUACAUCAAUGGCAGCUCAGACAUUGCAGCUCCGACCACUGGGCAACACUGGACUCAAUCUCAGCUCUGUCGGCUUCGGCGCUUCUCCUCUCGGCAAGGUUUUCGGCGAUGUCUCCGAACAAGACGCCUUCGCCGCCGUCCGGGAAGCCUUUCGCCUCGGCGUCAAUUUCUUUGACACUUCCCCGUAUUAUGGAGGAACGUUAUCGGAAAAGGUACUAGGGAAAGCUUUGAAGGCUCUUGGAGUACCUAGAGAUCAGUACAUUGUGUCUACAAAAUGUGGGAGGUACAAAGAGGGAUUUGAUUUUAGUGCUGAGAGAGUGACUAAAAGUAUUAAUGAGAGCUUGGAGAGGCUGCAGCUUGAUUAUGUUGAUAUGUUACAAUGUCAUGAUAUUGAAUUUGGGUCCCUCGAUCAGAUUGUGAAUGAGACACUUCCCGCCCUUCUAAAAUUGAAGCAAGCUGGAAAGAUCCGCUUCAUUGGUAUAACCGGCCUACCUUUGGGGAUAUUCACUUAUGUGCUUGAUCGCGUCCCUCCAGGCACAGUUGACGUCAUCCUGUCAUAUUGUCACUACAGUGUCAACGAUUCAACUUUGGAGGAUCUGUUGCCAUACCUGAAGAGCAAGGGUGUGGGGGUGAUCAGUGCUUCUCCUCUUUCAAUGGGUCUUCUUACUGAGGCUGGUGGUCCAGAGUGGCACCCUGCUUCUUCUGAACUUAAGGCUGCCUGCCGAGCUGCUGCUGUUCACUGCAAAGGAAAGGGAAAGAAUAUCUCAAAAUUAGCCUUGCAGUACAGCUUAGCAAAUACCGAUAUUUCUUCCAUACUAGUGGGGAUGAAGUCUGUUAAAGAGACUACAAAUUGGAUAAAAUAGUUGGAUGAGGUAGAAAAUCAUGACCCUUUUGAACAGGACUCUAAGAUUGUGCAAGUGAAUAGGGACAAAAGAAUGAGCCUGCAGUCUGGUGUUUUUCCAAAUUCGGACAUCUGUUCUUUGUCAACUUUUCUGCCAAAGCAUGUGUGGUCAUACUUCCCUUUCUUGAUUCAACACCUAAAAACAGAAGCAUAGAUGAUGAUUGGUCACUCUCAGGACGAGCUAUACAUUAGAAGUGGAGGAAAAUAUAGCAGCUGCCCUAGAACUAGCAACGGCUGGAAUGGAUGAAGAAACAUUAUCAGAGAUCACAGACAUUCUGAAACCAGUGAAGAAUCAGACAUGGCCUAGCGGUAUCCAACAAAGUUGAUUUGUUUGACAGUUCAACGAG
Molecule: RNA transcript, 1335 nt
Organism: Solanum stenotomum
Lineage: Eukaryota; Viridiplantae; Streptophyta; Magnoliopsida; Solanales; Solanaceae
Gene name: L-galactose dehydrogenase
Exons: 6
Source: RefSeq, a predicted model, not a curated record